This 515-nucleotide ribosomal RNA is filed under the name uncultured bacterium. Its description in RNAcentral is "partial 16S ribosomal RNA". It matches the Rfam family "Bacterial small subunit ribosomal RNA", at positions 28 to 523 of the family's 1533-position model. The record is from RNAcentral.
GACGAACGCUGGCGGCGUGCCUAAUACAUGCAAGUCGAGCGGACUUUCAAGAAGCUUGCUUUUUGAAAGUUAGCGGCGGACGGGCGAGUAACACGUGGGCAACCUGCCUGUAAGACAGGGAUAACUCCGGGAAACCGGGGCUAAUACCGGAUAAUAUCUUUCUUCGCAUGAAGGAAGGUUGAAAGGCGGCGCAAGCUGAUGCUUGCAGAUGGGCCCGCGGCGCAUUAGCCAGUUGGUGAGGUAACGGCUCACCAAGGCGACGAUGCGUAGCCGACCUGAGAGGGUGAUCGGCCACACUGAGACUGAGACACGGCCCAGACUCCUACGGGAGGCAGCAGUAGGGAAUCAUCCGCAAUGGACGAAAGUCUGACGGAGCAACGCCGCGUGAGCGAAGAAGGUCUUCGGAUCGUAAAGCUCUGUUGUCAGGGAAGAACAAGUACCGUUCGAAUAGGGCGGUACCUUGACGGUACCUGACCAGAAAGCCACGGCUAACUACGUGCCAGCCGCCGCCGUAA